This is an RNA transcript of Fragaria vesca subsp. vesca, 1592 nucleotides long. RefSeq lists it as uncharacterized. The transcript is spliced from 13 exons. Lineage: Eukaryota; Viridiplantae; Streptophyta; Magnoliopsida; Rosales; Rosaceae. The record is from RefSeq and is a predicted model, not a curated record.
AUGUCAACCCUCCCUUCCCCUAAACCUCACCACUGCCGCUCCUCCUCCUCCGCCGCCUUCCCUCCUCGUCUUCUCCGGCGGCACCGCCUUCAACGGCGUCGUCCAGGACCUCAUGAAUCUCACCACUCGCGUCGCGCACGUGCUUCCCGUCUCCGACGACGGCGGCAGCACCGCCGAGAUCGUCCGCGUGCUCGGUGGUCCGGCCGUCGGAGAUAUCCGGUCCAGGUGCUUGAGAUUGGCCGAUAAAAGCACCUCCGAGGCCGUCGCCGUAAGGCAAUUGCUUGGUCAUCGGUUACCGGUUGAUGCAUCCCAAGCCAAAUCCGAAUGGUAUGAGAUUGUGGAAGGAGAGCACUCUUUGUGGACUGGAGUAUCAAAGCCCUAUAGGGAAACCAUUCGAGCUUUUCUUGUUUAUUUUCAGAAUCAGAUUCUCCGUCGAGCUGAUGAAUCGUUUUGCUUCAGUAAUGGCAGCAUUGGGAAUUUCUUCUUUGCAGGAGCACGCGUAUUUUUCCGGUCUUUGGAUGCUGCAAUAUUUUUAUUCUCUCGAGUGUCGGAUAUUCCAUCAGAAAGUCUUGUUCUUCCAGUGAUUUCUACUAAUGACAGGCUUACAUUAGGAUGUGAAUUAUCGGAUGGAACUAUAAUACGAGGGCAAAAUGAAAUUUCUCAUCCAACCAAGGGAUACACGGCACUUGUCAAUAAGGGAAGCUCUUCAGCUCCCGCACUCUCUUCAAGGAUAAAGAGGGUGUUCUACAUGUCAAGUGAGGGCCAAAACUUGCUUCAUGAGGUCUUCCCUGCUCCAAACCCAACUGUGAUGGAUCAGCUACGUAAUGUAGGUUGCAUUGUUUAUGCCAUGGGUUCUCUCUUUACUUCUGUCUGCCCAUCACUGGUAUUAAUUGGCAUCGGGGAGAUUAUAUCUUCAAGGUCCUGCCCCAAGGUACUUUUGUUAAACGGUACCCAUGAUCGAGAGACAAGUGGCUUCUCAGCUUCUUGCUUUGUAACUGCUAUUACUGAUGCACUAAAUCGAACAUAUGGAGGCCCUCAUAACUGUCUCAAAAACCUUCCCAGUCACUAUAUCAAUACCCUAUUGGUGCCCAAAGAUGGUGAGGUACCUGUUAAUGUUCAAUGCUUAGCUGACCAAGGAAUUUUUGAAGUGAUUGUUGUUGACUCUGUACAUGAUCCAAAAGUAGGUGUGGUGUUUGACCCCAAGUCGUUAAUACAAGCCCUUGAUGAUUUGAUAGGCAGACACAUGCCUACAAGAGUUAAGGUGGUCUAAAUGAUGGCAGUGCAGAGAUUACGUUCAGACCCGAGCAAAAUUUCAUGUAGCUUUUGUAGUAUUGUUCAUAGUUUCAUGAUUGUUGAGGCAAGGGUAUGCGGCAAAUUGGUACUUUUACCGGAAAUGUGGCAGGCUCACUGCAAUUGAACUGUAUUAAGUUUAUGAUCAAAAGAUUAGUACCUCAUGUUUUUAAAUGCUGUACAUAAUCAACAAUGAUAUCGUUCAUGAACUAGGAAAGAAAGAAAAUGAUGCUGUACAGAAACAACUAUGAUAUUGUUUAUGAACUAGCUAGUAAAGAAAGAAAAUGUCAGUCAUUUUUGAU